Molecule: non-coding RNA, 5455 nt
Organism: Oryctolagus cuniculus (rabbit)
Lineage: Eukaryota; Metazoa; Chordata; Mammalia; Lagomorpha; Leporidae
Source: RefSeq, a predicted model, not a curated record
UGAUGACCACAUGGGUGGCCUGGCCAGUGAAUAAAAUACAAGGAAAGGGAGGGUGGGCAGACCAUCAGUAAUCUUCCCAUGGGAUCUUCUGAGAUAGGUUCCAUAAACCACCUAGAAAGGAAAGUUGGCGGUAAGUCUACUUGUGCAACACAGUUACCAUUAUUUUCUGUAAGGGAGUUAACAUAAUGCACAUGGCAAUGCAUUUUGGUCAGUCUUUUUAUUUCUUUUUAUAAAAAGAUUAUGUAUCUACUAAUUUGAAAGGCAGAGUGACAGAGAGGGAAAGAAAGACAGAGAGGUUUUCCAUGUACUGUUCACUUCCCAAAUACCCAAAGCAGCCAGGGCUGGGCCAGGCAGAAGCCAGCAACCAGGAGCCAGGAAUUCCUUUCUAGUCUGCCACAUGGGUAGCAGGAGCCCAGGUACUUGGACCAUCAGGUGCAUUAACAGGAAGCUGGAUUAGAAGCAGAGCAGUUCGGACUCAAACCUGCACUCUGAUAUGGGAUGCCAAUAUCACCAGCAGUGGCUUAGCCAGCCUUGCCACAAAGCCUGCUCCUUGAUGAGUGUUUUUUUUUUAAAUAAAUAUUGUUUUCCAUGACUUUGCUAUUGAUUCCUUUUUCCUGAUCUCUUUGGUUCUUAAGGAAAGAUAGUUCAUAUUCUCUGUGCGUCAGGACUUCUUCAUAAACCAGUGAUUCUCAAAUUUUGUGAGCACUGGAGUAAUACAAGCCCUUUUCCAAAGAUACAGAAGCCUCUUGGAUUACAAUUAAGUUCAUCUAGAGUGGAGCUGCCAUGUGUUAAAUUUGACAAUCCAUGGAAAUCAUAGCAUGAAAUGGGAGAAUGGAGUAUGGGACAUGUGCAUGUCCUGUUCAGUGUUCCUCAGCACGUGACAAAUGACAGCUCAUUUCUGCCAUCCUAGUCUCUGUUCUCAUUUUUCCCAGUAAUUUGGUGCAAGUCCCAAGUGUCUCAUCAUUUCAUCAGGACACUGUCAGCCUACAAGAAGUUCCCAGGUGAUUCUUACACAUCAUCAGGGUUGAGAAUUCCAAGACAAGAAGAGUCUUUUUUCUCAAUGAGAAGUCCUAAGACACAAGCACUGUCCUCUGGAUGUCAUUCUUUUCAGACAUGUCUGCCCAACAAGGCAUUACAGAUUUACUACAAUGCACAGCUGUAUCUGUGGUUAUCAGUGAUAAUUGUAAUAUUCCCUUUUAUAAAAAUAUUUGUUUUAUUUAUUUGAAAGUCAGAGGAACAGAGAGACAGACACAGACAGAAAGCGAUCUCUUAUUUGCUGAUUCAUUCUGCAAAUGGCUGCCACAGCUGGGGUUGGGCCAGGGCAAAGCCAGAAGCCUGGAACUCCAUCCAGGUCUCCUGUGUGGGUGGUCCUGACUUAAGUUUUUCAUUCAUUACCUGCUGCUCCCAAUACAUUAGCAGGAAGCUGGAAUUGGAAGUGAAGCCAGGACUGCAACAGUGACUGCAAACCAGGUGCUCAAUCCACAUGGGACACAAACAUUCCUGCCUGUUCCAUUAUAAUACUCUUUCAUGCUGUGUAGUAAGGGAACUGAUAGCCACUUAAGGCUUUUUAAAUUUUCAUUAGGUAAACUUAAAAAUGCAAUCCAUUGAUUCAAUGAACCACAUUCCAUGCACACCAUAUCUGUGUGUGGCUAAUGUAUGGGAUAAUGCAAGUGCAGAACCCUUCCUUCCACUAAAGUGUCCUGUUGGUCUAGACAUAAGGACCAACCUUCUUAAUCUUCAGCUGCUGAAAGAGGGACCUUCUCAACAGAACAAGAGAUUAUGAGAACUCCAACACCAAGAGAAACUAAAUAUGAUAAAAAAUGAAGCAUCUUUAAAAGUGAAACAUAAAGAGCAUGAUUUUACAAAAGAACUUUUUAAAAAUAAACACUUGCAUCAACCAGCUGUUUUUUAGAAGAAAAUGCAAGCAUGGAUUUGAAGACAAAUAUGCAUCUUAAAGCCAUUCUUAAUUGAGGACAAUGUAUAAAUAUCGAAUUUGGGCAGUUAUCAGAAGACAAAUGGACUCAGAGAUACUGAGAUGUUAGAUCAGUAAGUUGUAGAUAUGCAAUUAAAAUGCAGUUAAAUGCACCAUAACAAUGGAUAUGAGUGUCAGAAAAUGGUAUUGUGGAAGUGAGAAGGCAAACAAAAAAACAUAUUCAAAAAUGUAAGGUCAACUAGGGAGGGUUCCAGGCCCCUAAAGUAACAGGGAGGAGACCGUUUUUUCUGGGAAAGGUUGGGGAACAUGCCAAUUUGGAUUCUCUAUUACUUCCAAAGCUGAGUUGCCAAUCCCUCAAGUAACACCAGUGUAGAAUUAUUAUAAAUGAUUCCAAUAUCUAUCCUGAAAGAAACAUGUUCUUACAAUCAGGAGAAAUGUGUAGUUUCUUCCCAUUGGUGUGAAACCAUUUCUCUACUUUUACAUUCUAAUAUUGAGAUCACAAAGGGAAGCUCUUUGUGCUAUAAUUUUUUCUGUGCUUUGGGAUGGACAUAUCUAUUAUUUAAUUUGAAGAACAAAACAUUUGGAUGUGGUGAUCAUUGCUGGAUAUCCCAAUAAUCUAUGAGUAGCAAUUGUUAAUGCAUGUACACUUGUGUUACAUAUGAUUGAAAAGAAAUAUGUUUCACUAUGUACAACAGUGCUGAGGAUUUUCUUUGUACACCAUGGCUGCAGCAGAGCAAUUUAUAUAUUUCAAUGGAUUCUUUGUCAGAUCAACACAGCAAGAAGUAUAAAUAAUGAAUCAGAAAAAUGUUCUGAGCACUACAGAUGAACUUUAGAAUACCACUCUACGUGGAGGGUGGGACUUAUGCCCCAAGAUGGUGACCCACCAUGGGAACUUCCACCCUCAUAGUAAGAUGGGCAACAGACUCCGCCCCAAGGUGGUGGCCCCCAUGACCAACCACAUACUACAUGGCUGAUUAAUAGAGCAAUGUAUAUUAAAUCAUAUUUUAUUAUGUUAGCUUGUUACUUUCGCCUCUGAGCUGGACUUUAUUAUGUUAGUUUGUUGUUUUCACCUCUGAAUAAGAUUUAACUACGUUAUUUCCUUAUUUUUCCCUCUGACUAUGAUUUUAUACAUUAAGCUCUAUAAUAGGUAUAGUAGCUCUGAGAUGUCAGAUUAAGUGUUAAGGUAGAUGAUCAGAGAUAUAACUGGGCCAAAGCUUAGCCCUAUUUACCUCCUGUCUCCCCAGGUUACAAGGUGAUUUUAAAAGAAUUUAUUUAUUUGACAGGUAGAGUUACAAACAGUGAGAGAGAGAGACAGACAGAAUGGUCUUCCAUCCAUUGGGUCACCUCCCAAAUGGCCACAACAGCUGGAGCUACGCUGAUCCAAAGCCAGGAGUCAGUUGCCUCCUCCUGGUCUCCCAUGCAGUGCAAGGGCCCAAGCACCUGGGCCAUCCUCCACUGCUUUUUCUGGGCCACAGCAGAGAGCUGGACAGUAAGAGGAGCAACCAGGACUAGAACCCGGUGUCCAUAUGGGAUGCUGGCUCUGCAGGCAGAGGAUUAGCCUAGUGCACCACAGCGCUGGCCCCACAAGGUGAUUUAACUAUGGAUAGUUAUAUAUCUGCUCCUUUGGAGACUCCAUGACAGAUAUACACUUAAUAAUUGGGAGGCCCUUUGACUAGAAGGAUUAAGAAAUUAUAGCUAAUGCAAUGUAUCCAUGUAAAAUGCUUAAGAAUAAUUAAGCUCAUGAAGACCUGUGUCUGUUUUUAUUUUCUCAGGUCCUACAGAGACUGUAAAGCUGUAUAGCUCUGCAUACAUUCCUACAGACUUACUUCUAAGGAUCCCAAGAAGGAAAUUACAAGUCUGAAGUCAACAGCAAACCCAGGAAGGAAAGGACAGCAUUUACCAAGAGCAAAUCUGAGGACUAGAAGCAGAAUUUGCCCAUCACAACUAUGUGACUAGACUGAGGAGAUACAAGAUAGCAGAGAAUCUGGAUCUCACCAAAAGACAGGUGAAAGUGUGGUUCCAGAAGAGGAGGAUGAAGUGGAAGAGGGUAAAAUUGGGCCAGCUGGGCACUGCUGCCUGAGAAAAGGAACUGGUGAACGUGAAGAAAGGAACCCUGCUCCCUUCAGAGCUGUCAGGGAUUGGUGCGGCCACGCUCCAGCAAACAGGGGACUCUCUGGACAAUGAAGACAGCCAGAACAGUGACCACAGCUCAGAGCAUGCACACUUAUGAUCCACACAGACAGGACCAGCUUCAUUCUCAGGAAAGAAGCACCAUGAUGGCAAGCCUUACCCAACAGAGUUUACACAGAGAGAUGGCCAUGGCCAUGAUUUUUAAUAUUAUUAAAUUCAGGCAUCAUGGGUCUGUUUUGCAUGAUUUAUAGAGGAAGGAAGUGCCACUUAUCAAAGAUGCUUCCAUGAUGAAAAUCAGAAGGUGAAUUUUCUUUGAAUAGUCCAGAGAUGUUUGGUUGUGUGUAUGACAGUGAGCAGGUAUGUUUGCCUUUGCUUGAACUGAAAAAUUAAAUGGGUACUAAGAACAAAUUAUGACACAUUUCUACACGAGAUGCUUCCAGAGUGAAAACGUUGAAGAUGAACUUGCUUUAAAUUCUCAAAUGUACGAGUUCAUGUUUAUGACAGUGGGCAGGUAUUUGCUUUUGCUUGCACUGAGAAAUCGCCAUCAAGAAUAAAACAUAAAACCUUUUAUCCUGAACAGCAAAAGUGCCUGAGAUCACUCAAAUAGAUUUUUAAAAAAGGAUGCAGUUUAACUCUGUAUAUAUUAUCCUUAAGUCAUUUUCCUGUCUUCACUAAUUUUAGCAAUUCAUUCAUAUUAGCUGAUGAAAAUAGGCACUGAUAAUGCCAGCCAGGCCAGCUUCCUGCCUUUUUAUGCAUGUGUCAUUCUGAGACAAUCCGUAUGCACUUACUUGUGUACAAGUAGAGAAACAUACAGUAGUCUGAUAUGACAUAUUCUUGUACCACAGACAAAACAAACAUUAUGUUGCAUUUACUAUCACUGCUGCUAAUAUGUUAUUAUACAACUUACCUAGCUCCUCCUUGAUUCGUCCUAUCUUGUAGCUUGAAAAAAAAAUAGGAUCAUAGGCAUAUCAGUUACUUUGUGGAGAGAGCUUUGUUGUGGCAGACACUGUCUGAUUUUAUUUUAUUUUUUUGACAGGCAGAGUGGACAGUGAGAGAGAGAGACAGAGAGAAAGGUCUUCCUUUGCCGUUGGUUCACCCUCCAAUGGCCACCGCGGCCGGCGCGCUGCGGCCGGCGCACCGUGCUGAUCCGAUAGCAGGAGCCAGGAGCCAGGUGCUUUUCCUGGUCUCCCAUGGGGUGCAGGGCCCAAGCACCUGGGCCAUCCUCCACUGCACUCCCUGGCCACAGCAGAGGGCUGGCCUGGAAGAGGGGUAACUGGGACAGAAUCCGGCACCCCGACUGGGACUAGAACCCGGUGUGCUGGCGCCGCUAGGCGGAGGAUUAGCCUAGUGAGCCGCGGCGCCCGCCCCUGAUUUUAUUUCUAUAAAAUUAAA